GAGGGAGGGAGGAGGGAGGACAAAUCAUACUUAGUACAUAAACACACCCACACUUUUUUUAUGACCAUUUUGCUACUGUUUUGUUAAACAAUGGAACCUAUUAAAUUUUGGGAUUUUCCUCCCAACUGUGAAAAAAAUAAACAAGCAGAAUUUUAUUUCAGUGUUUGUUUUGGCAUCAGGUUUAAUUAUUUUUCUUUUCUUUUGGUUAUAUCAGCUCGCCGCCUCUGGUCUGUCAGCGUUAGCCCCUCAUACAGGAGUACUAUGGGGUUCUGGUGGAGCACAUAUUAAAAAUAAUAAAAAAACAAGCAAUUUCACAAACACCAAAACCUGGAGGAGGUUUGGGAAGAAGAGCAGAGCCUGGAGAGAAUAAAUAGAAACAGAGCUACAAACCAGAUUAAGGAUCAAAGGACCCAACUUCUUCCUAAAACAUUCGACUUUAUAAAAUACCAUCCUGGGAGCAAAAUGACUCAUUCAAAUGGCAUACAGUGUGAGGAUGGAAGGGACAGGGAGGCUGCAGAGCAGCAAGAGGCCUACAUCAGCAGUCUGGCAGAUUUGAUUUGGAAAAUUCUGAUGAUAUAUAAGAAACUAGAGAUUAAUAUCAUCCCAUAGAAUCAUUCUUCCAUUCCUUCCUCCUGUACAGAGCACCUCCACCAUGAGAGAUGCUAUGCAAGACACGACCCAGUCAAUACAUCCUUUUGAGGAAUAUCAAUUAACAUUGUCCAGCAGUUCAAGAACCUCAAGGCUGACUAUCCUUCGCAAAGGAGGCCGAACAGCUCCUGUGUCUGGAGGGCAUGGCCUGAGGCAGCACCGACACCUGGGAACAAAGAGAACCAUCCAUGGAACUCUGGGCCUUGCCUCUGGAUGGAAGAUUAAACUGCCUUACAAGGAAAGUGCCCAGGGAGAUGUGCUGGUUUGAAAACCCCAAACCUCUGAAAUGUUAAGUCAAUUAACCCACGUCUGUGCAGCCUCCGUCAAUGAAUGUGAUAGCGUAAGAAUACUCAUUUUUUGAAGAACAAACUGCUUUUGUCUGCACCACUCAAUUUAAGGGAAAACUACUUCUGGAAUCCUAUCCAAGCUCUUCAUACUCUGGAUAAUUUCUACUGCCACUCUAAUUAUCAGCCAGGACGCUGAUUUGUAAUCACCCACUUUCAAUAAUUUAAAUAGGUAGUUGUUCAGCCAACUAUUUUUAUUCAAAAUGUGACAAAAGCUAAAAUUACACGUUGAAUUUUAUCCAGAUGCCGUCUUCUUUUAGGACAUGCCAACGGAUGCAGAGCGAUUGUUCAUUUUCUUCUAACAUGUCAGAGGCACAUCUUUCCUUCAUGUAUCUAACUAGCAAUCUAAGACACAGUCUGCAAUUUAUGUAUCAGUUCGGUUGCUUCCAGGACCAGCAGGCAGGGCAUUCUAAGAUUUAAUUCCGUGUGCAGAAUCAUCAAACAUAACCACACCCAAGCCAUGUUAUUCUCUAGAUUUUAGAGAUGAGCUUUUCACUGUCUGAUUGAAUUUCAGCAAGGAUCCCUUUGGUGGCUGCAUUUUCCUCCAAUAAUAAUGGCCACUUUGAAUAAAUUUGUCAAUAUGACUAUCGCUACUUAAUAUUUCUGUAGAGGCCCCUAACAUCUUUGGUCUAUAUUUUCUUUUAUACUUUUGCAUACAAAGUGGACCAACUUUUUCAUCUCAAAAAGAACUGAAUCAGACAGAAUCCAGAUUCCUUAAGGAAAAAAUUCUAUUGUUUCAUACUUUUUUUUUUUUUUUAUUCCAGUAAUUACUGUCUUCCGGGCUGGCAAAGGAGUUCACUCUGAAAAGUCCCUGAGCUGCAAAAUUGCAAAAUUGAGAAGCUAGGUUAAAGGUUUUUCUGUUUUGUGAAAUUUGCUAGAUUUUGCCAAGCCCCUGUUUUUGCACUGAAAAAGUUUUAGGGAAAGCUUGUUGUUAUCCUUUGUCUGGAUCCUCGUUCAAAAACUCCCUGUGGAGUAGUUUAUUGCUAUUAGUGAAUGCAGAUACAAACAGUUGCGUCAGAGCAGCUCAGCGGUCCUUUGGUCAGCUCCCAGUAAGCCCCCUCUCCAGUUUCUCAUUGUGGGUUUUCCAAAUUUUCAUCCCUUUCUUCAAAUCCACCCCAUAACUCCCCACAGUCACUAUCACCAGAUUACUUUGGCUCUUACCUCACGGAGGAAGCAGACUCUAUUAACAAGAAAUCCUUCAAAGUUCCUUUCACUCCAUAAACACACCUACAUUUGCAAUCUCAGGAACAGGGUUGGGGUUGGGGAUGAAGAAACUCUUCUGAUUUUGCAGGACCAGUCCCUCCACUUCCCGUUUCCUCAGAGCCCUUGCUCCCCCUUUGUCUCUUCUCUUGCAUACAUCUGAGUAUGAUUUAGGGUAUUGAUUCAGGGUCCAUCGGAGUCCAAGUGACAGCUCCCAGCUCCCUCCUGAACACAGAGGCCACAGGUGGCUUCUUUGACAGAAGCUGCCAUGUUUUCAGUUAUGUGGCACUGCCCCCCUGGCUUCAAGGGAUUGCAUUAUGGAGAGGGGCUGUAGCCAAAGCAGCAGAUGUAAGGGCCGUAGCCAAAGGCAGCUCAUAUGUGAGAGCCAAAACGACAUAGUGUCUGAGUCCUGGUUGGAUUCCUGUUUGCAAGCAAUAGAAAAUGAUUCUGGCUAAUUUAACCUCAACAGAAUAUUUGCUGGAAGGGUGUCUGUGGCUCAGAUAUCUAUAGGGACCUAGAAGACCUGGUUUAGAGAGGAGGCAGGAACCCAGGUGCUCUGAAGAGGUCUGCAGUGGGGAACACAGCAAAGUUAUACGUGAGGAGCAGUAUGUUCAGCCUGCUGCCUCCACUGCUGCUCCUUUGGUAGGGGUGGUCUUCAGCUGUCCCUGUACUUGUCCGACUAGCCAAGGCCAAGUGACAUACUUGCUCCAUAGCCAGGCUAGUCAGGGAGAGAGAAUACUGGCUCAUUGGCUACUGUGUAGGAUGUGGGUUCCAGGCCCGUGUCUACACAGUAGAAGAUUCCCCAGAAGAGAGAGAGAGCACAAGUGGGGGGAGGAGCAGAGGAAGUGGGAGAAACAGACUCCCUGCUGAGGAGGGAGCCCGACGUGGGGCUCGAUCCCAGAACCCUGAUCUCAUGACCUGAGCAGCCACUCAGAGGGAGCGGAGAACCCUUGGGGGCAGAGGGAUCAGUGGGACGGGAGCAGAACAAGGGAGAGAGCAGAGGCCAGAGAGGUGAUACGGAUGAGGGGGGAAGAUUUCAAUUAUUAAUUUGCUUGGGGGUUACAUGAAACAUUGGCAUGCAUAACAAAUGCUCGGGGAGUGUAGAAUUGUAUCUAAUUGUAAUUGUAUCUAAUUGUAAUAAGGAGAGAUAUAUGGUAGUGUUAGAAUAGUGGUCCCUGGGUGUCAGGUGGGAGAGUAACUGUCAUCAUCCCAGCUCCAGAUGAGCCAGGGUGAGUAGGACAAGGAGGCGAUGAGGACCCAAGAAGUAAGGCUUAAUCCAGAUUGUGGCCUCUCUCUCCCAUUCAAGUGUUCUGUUAUACAACCCAGUACCCACAAUGCAUGUGGCUUGCCCAGGCACCCAUGGGAUCAUUCACUCACAAUUUUUAAAUGUCAUUUUCUCUGUUUUGGAAUUGCUAGGUAAAUUUUGUCAAUGAUGGUUUCCUUCAUUUCUGGGUCUUUCAUGUUUGCAACUAUGAUUUGUGUUGAUAAAUGGCUAAACACUUUGAAAAUAUAAUAAAGCAUUAUGGAAAUUCUGAACAAUUAGAUUAUUUUUUGCUUUCGUGACUCAGAAUUGGCAACUUUACAAUUUGUGUUUUAUCUCCUUUGGAUGAUUACCUUGAUCAAUCAAGCCAAAUGGAAAUGAAACCUGCUUUAGGUGGGGGUGGAGCAUGGGCAAGUAGACUUUGGCCAAGUAGAGCUGACAAUCUUUCAGGGAUGGAAAGAAUCUUGUCCAGUUUCUUCAUUUUGCAAGUGUGGAAACUGAACUUAGUAAGGUCAAAUGAUUUGCUAAGGCCAUCCUGGGGGAACAGAAAUAGGAGUCUAUAUUUCCUCGCCUUAGUUGAAUCAUUAUAGAAUCAUUAAUAUUUGGUAGAGACAGUAGAAAAGCUUUAUUUUCUAACCACUGGGUAAGUGGAGAUGGAAUUUAAAAAAUAUUUUAAAUCAGGUUUUAUUGACCUGUUCUUCAUGUAUAAUCUCCAUUCCACAGGUCUAGGGUCUAUUUUGAGAAUCUAUGAGGAAUUUGGGGAAAAUAGUGAAAUGGUCAGGUUUAUACUUUAGGAGUUAAUCUAGCAAGAGUACUCCUCAGUACUGCAAAGAAAUCUUAAAAACUGUAUGUGUUUAAAAAAUAUUUCUCGU
This 4325-nucleotide long non-coding RNA is filed under the name Ailuropoda melanoleuca (giant panda). RNAcentral describes it as "lncRNA (ENSAMEG00000031170.1)". The record is from RNAcentral. Lineage: Eukaryota; Metazoa; Chordata; Mammalia; Carnivora; Ursidae.